Molecule: ribosomal RNA, 253 nt
Filed under: uncultured bacterium
Lineage: Bacteria
Description: partial 16S ribosomal RNA
Rfam family: Bacterial small subunit ribosomal RNA
Source: RNAcentral
UACAGAGGGGGCAAGCGUUGUUCGGAAUUACUGGGCGUAAAGGGCGCGUAGGCGGCCUGCUAAGUCGAACGUGAAAUCCCCGGGCUCAACCCGGGAACUGCGUCCGAUACUGGUAGGCUUGGAUCCGGGAGAGGGAUGCGGAAUUCCAGGUGUAGCGGUGAAAUGCGUAGAUAUCUGGAGGAACACCGGUGGCGAAGGCGGCAUCCUGGACCGGUAUUGACGCUGAGGCGCGAAAGCCAGGGGAGCAAACGGG